GAUGAACGCUGGCGGCGUGCCUAAUACAUGCAAGUCGAGCGAACAGACGAGGAGCUUGCUCCUCUGACGUUAGCGGCGGACGGGUGAGUAACACGUGGAUAACCUACCUAUAAGACUGAGAUAACUUCGGGAAACCGGAGCUAAUACCGGAUAAUAUAUUGAACCGCAUGGCUCAAUAGUGAAAGACGGUUUUGCUGUCACUUAUAGAUGGAUCCGCGCCGCAUUAGCUAGUUGGUAAGGUAACGGCUUACCAAGGCAACGAUGCGUAGCCGACCUGAGAGGGUGAUCGGCCACACUGGAACUGAGACACGGUCCAGACUCCUACGGGAGGCAGCAGUAGGGAAUCUUCCGCAAUGGGCGAAAGCCUGACGGAGCAACGCCGCGUGAGUGAUGAAGGUCUUCGGAUCGUAAAACUCUGUUAUUAGGGAAGAACAAAUGUGUAAGUAACUAUGCACGUCUUGACGGUACCUAAUCAGAAAGCCACGGCUAACUACGUG
Molecule: ribosomal RNA, 497 nt
Filed under: uncultured bacterium
Lineage: Bacteria
Description: partial 16S ribosomal RNA
Rfam family: Bacterial small subunit ribosomal RNA
Source: RNAcentral